Long non-coding RNA from Pseudophryne corroboree (corroboree frog), 2254 nucleotides. RefSeq lists it as uncharacterized. The record is from RefSeq and is a predicted model, not a curated record. NCBI's taxonomy places the organism in Eukaryota, Metazoa, Chordata, Amphibia, Anura, Myobatrachidae. The transcript has 2 exons.
ACUACAUCUCCCAGCAGCCCUUGCUGCCGGGAGCUGUACUUUACUUUCAGUUUCAACUCUGCAGCGUGCAGUGAUCGGUACAGCAGAGACGCAUUAAGAGGGGGCACAGGGGACAAAUUACUAACCCCCCACCCCCUUCCCCCGCUCACCCCACUGCCAGUUACUUUAAUAAUUGCAGCCACUGCUGCAGUGAACAGAAAUUCCGAAAAGGGGGCGGGGCUAAACGGCACUGUACACACAGUGCCAUGCCAGCCAGCAACAGCGUGGGAGAGAGGAGGGGAGAAGAGCAGCACAGCCUAAACAGAAUCUUCCAGACAAUGUGAUAUCCUACAUGAAUUGUGAAAACCGAAUUUAGACGCCGUCAUCCCAGGGAAGAUACAUUUCUUAAGAUGCAUAUGGAAUGGAAAGGGAUGUUUCCAGGCUGACUAGAAACAGGUGGGGAGUCAUGUUGACACUCCUCAUUUUCAGUGACCAUGCCCCUCUCUGAAUGUGACCACGCCCAUCUUUUUGCUCAAGCCAUCGGCACUCACACAAAGUUUCAUAGGUGGGGGGGCGCCGUUCACAAUCUUGCCCUGGGCGCCGAAGACCCUACCUACGCCUCUGUGUGCUACGUAAGAAACUGUUGUUAAUAAUAAUAAUAAUAUCAAUAACAACAAUAAUAAUAAUAAAUGGUUGCGAUGUAUAAUAGAAGUUAGAUUUAUUGAUCUCUGGUGCUAGAGAUAAAUAAUUCUAUAUUUCUAAUGAGCAUAAAAUCUCACUAUAAGGCAGUGAUUCUCAAACUUUUUCGAAUAACAGCACCUUAGAGUAUCAGAAUUUUCUUCACGGCACCCCUAGGAAAAAAAGUUUCUUAUUGAGAAAUUUAGAAAGAAAAAUUAAAGUAAGUAAAUUGUGUUUAUAUGUCAUCCUUAAGUUUAAUUGUGUGGUAGGGGACAAGAUUUGCUUCUGUCAACAUAUUUUAUGAUUGACAGCCACCAGCAUUGGUUUUACAUUGACCAUAAAUAAUUUUAAUUGGUCUUGGACCACCAACCCAGGAUGCCACGGUACACAGUUUGAGAACCACUGCUAUAAGGGAUACAUUUGAGAGAGAUAAAGUAAGGCUUUUGUCAUUUUAUAGUCUGUGCUAGAUUAGUAAAAGCUACAGUAGAAUCUGGUUGCUCUGGGCAACUUCACCACUCAUCUCUCUCGACAGUUUGCUUCAGCUUCCCUAAGACUGAAAUUGUUUAAAGAAAGUAAAUAAGGGACAAAUGGUAAUUUAUUGAAAUACUACAAAAUAAUUUGCCCAUAUUGGUCAGGCUCAUAUCUGCCAGGAUAUGCCUUUAUUCAAAUUCAGUAUGAUUUACUGGCGGAUUGGAUGCAGUCUGUCAAUAUCCCGACAGUGGCAUCCUGUCCGCCAGAAUGCCGGCAGCAGGGUGAGCACUAAGAGUUCCCUUGUGGGCUUGGUGGCUCGAUGCGCUCACCACAGGAUGGGUGUGGUAUGAGUUGCCGGCGUCCGGGUCCCCGACAACCAGUAUAUCAGUGCCAGGAUCCCGACUGCCGGCUUGCCGACAGAGGGACAAGCGCAAAUGAGCCCUUUGCGGGUUCGCUGCGGGCACGGUGGUGCACGACUAUCUAGUCUCCCUCCAGGGGGGUCGUGGACCUCCAAGAGGGAGAAUAGUUGUUGGUAUGCCGGUUGUCGGGAUUCCAGCGCCGCUAUACUAUGCGCUAGGAUCCCAACAACCAGUAUACUGAAUACCACCCACAGGAUGUAUUCUCAAAUGUUAAUAACAAAAAUAAGCUUUUUAAUAAAAUGUAUUUUAUAGCCACAGACCCAGUUUUUCUAGCUCACCAAUACACCCUUUCAGACUGUCCUUCAGUACCCUCUAUCCUUCAAAAGAUCUGUACAUUACCAUUAAUCUCAGUAAUAAAUUGAAGCAAUACAUUUCUGAAAGAAAUGCCUACCUUUAAUAACAUACCAGCAGGAAUGUUAAACAAGUACAGUGACAGUACAAACAAUAAUAAACAAAUCUGACAAUAAAGCAGAAAGGUGCUAGAGGCAAGAGGGAAAAGCUUGCAAGACCUCAGGCUGCCCGAGGGCUGACUGUUGCUUAUCAGUGAUCUAGCUAAAGUCAUACAGUAUACUCAUUUUGUUAGAAAAAGUCAAUUACCCAGCUUACUGCAUGUUGUGUACUUGAUGCGGUUCUUACCAUGUCUUGUUAUUCUGUAUGCUUUAUACUGUAUGUUCAUAUUUAAUAAAGUACAGUAUUUAAAAUGUAAA